This 253-nucleotide ribosomal RNA is filed under the name uncultured bacterium. RNAcentral describes it as "partial 16S ribosomal RNA". It matches the Rfam family "Bacterial small subunit ribosomal RNA", at positions 524 to 776 of the family's 1533-position model. The record is from RNAcentral.
UACGUAGGGGGCAAGCGUUGUCCGGAUUUAUUGGGCGUAAAGAGCGUGUAGGCGGCUUUACAGGUCCGUUGUGAAAACUCGAGGCUCAACCUCGAGACGCCGGUGGAAACCGUAAAGCUAGAGUCCGGAAGAGGAGAGUGGAAUUCCCGGUGUAGCGGUGAAAUGCGUAGAUAUCUGGGGGAACACCGGUGGCGAAGGCGGCAUCCUGGACCGACACUGACACAGAGGGGCGAAAGCCAGGGGAGCAAACGGG